This is a long non-coding RNA of Cydia fagiglandana, 206 nucleotides long. RefSeq lists it as uncharacterized. NCBI's taxonomy places the organism in Eukaryota, Metazoa, Arthropoda, Insecta, Lepidoptera, Tortricidae. The record is from RefSeq and is a predicted model, not a curated record. The transcript has 3 exons.
AGGUAGUAAAUAAUACAGACAACGGGAACGAGAUGGAGCCCGGACAGGAAGGCGAGAUAACACUCGAAAGACUAAAGACGGUUGAAGAAUAUUGUCUGAAAAACUCAAACGAGUCUUGUAGCUGGCUGUGUAAACUGACGUCAGUUGGAAUUAUAGAUGAGCACGGACGGUACGUGGAGAGUAAAGGGAUAGAAUACACUAAGAAU